AAAACACUAAAAUAUCAAAUUUUUAGGAACAGAGGGAGUACUAUGCUUAAAAAAAAAGCUGAAAACAUUGGAAAAAUAAAAAGCUGGAAAGAAAAAAAAGAAGAGCUGUGUUUGUAUGGGAUGAUGAGAAAAAAUGAAGAGCAGACGGUUGAUGGAAUAUUGUGUUUCCUCAAAUAUCAACACUCCUCAUUAACCCAUUGCUUUUUGUACGGACUUUAUUAGUAUAAAAGAACACAUAUCAGACUGAUCUAUGUAAGCAAAACCAGAACCACCCUCUUUCCAACAUUUUUCUUUCAAAAAUUAUUCUACUUAAUUUAUUUUCUUCUCUCUUUUUUUUUUGCUUGAUUUAUGAUAAUUUGAAAAUUUGUUACUAAUUUUC
RNAcentral lists this long non-coding RNA (379 nucleotides) under Arabidopsis lyrata. RNAcentral describes it as "long non-coding RNA (ALYR_LNC002872)". Lineage: Eukaryota; Viridiplantae; Streptophyta; Magnoliopsida; Brassicales; Brassicaceae. The record is from RNAcentral.